Molecule: non-coding RNA, 299 nt
Organism: Pelobates cultripes (western spadefoot toad)
Lineage: Eukaryota; Metazoa; Chordata; Amphibia; Anura; Pelobatidae
Source: the annotation of a GenBank genome assembly
GACUGCUACCAGACAAAGUGGCAGUUGCGUCCGAGCUCAACAACACUGUGGUAGUCUUCAUUGCACGCUCGGGAUGAAACCCCGCAAUGGUGGGGAGUAUGGCCUGAAGUCGACACGCGAUAAAGUACUUGAUUUACCAGGCUUGAUUGCAAGAUACUCUAUUUUGCGGAUCUGGCACUCAACCAGGGUAUACAACUCAACCCUACCACCUCCAGAGAAUGGGCUCGAUGCUCGAUAUGCCUCCUGGGCAAUGCAAAUGACGCACUAUGCGCCGACAGACGCAAAUCUGUACUGGUCCG